Molecule: ribosomal RNA, 563 nt
Filed under: Neotoma lepida (desert woodrat)
Lineage: Eukaryota; Metazoa; Chordata; Mammalia; Rodentia; Cricetidae
Description: partial 16S ribosomal RNA
Rfam family: Bacterial large subunit ribosomal RNA
Source: RNAcentral
CAUCACCUCUAGCAUAACAAGUAUUAGAGGCACUGCCUGCCCAGUGACUAGCGUUAAACGGCCGCGGUAUCCUGACCGUGCAAAGGUAGCAUAAUCAUUUGUUCCUUAAUUAGGGACUGGAAUGAACGGCUUGACGAGGGUUUAACUGUCUCUUAUUUCUAAUCAGUGAAAUUGACCUCCCCGUGAAGAGGCGGGGAUUACAAAAUAAGACGAGAAGACCCUAUGGAGCUUUAAUUUACUAGUUUAAUUUUAACAACGAACAACCUAUGGGCCUAACAUACACAAAAUCUAAACUAGUGGUUUCGGUUGGGGUGACCUCGGAGCAUAAAAAAACCUCCGAAUGAUUUUAACUAAGACAUACAAGUCUAAGUAGUUACACAUCUUAUUGACCCAAAACUUUUUUGAUCAACGGACCAAGUUACCCUAGGGAUAACAGCGCAAUCCUAUUCAAGAGUCCAUAUCGACAAUUAGGGUUUACGACCUCGAUGUUGGAUCAGGACAUCCCAAUGGUGCAGAAGCUAUUAAUGGUUCGUUUGUUCAACGAUUAAAGUCCUACGUGAUCA